RNAcentral lists this ribosomal RNA (497 nucleotides) under uncultured bacterium. Its description in RNAcentral is "partial 16S ribosomal RNA". It matches the Rfam family "Bacterial small subunit ribosomal RNA", at positions 28 to 507 of the family's 1533-position model. The record is from RNAcentral.
GAUGAACGCUGGCGGCGUGCCUAAUACAUGCAAGUCGAGCGAACAGACGAGGAGCUUGCUCCUCUGACGUUAGCGGCGGACGGGUGAGUAACACGUGGAUAACCUACCUAUAAGACUGGGAUAACUUCGGGAAACCGGAGCUAAUACCGGAUAAUAUAUUGAACCGCAUGGUUCAAUAGUGAAAGACGGUUUUGCUGACACUUAUAGAUGGAUCCGCGCCGCAUUAGCUAGUUGGUAAGGUAACGGCUUACCAAGGCAACGAUGCGUAGCCGACCUGAGAGGGUGAUCGGCCACACUGGAACUGAGACACGGUCCAGACUCCUACGGGAGGCAGCAGUAGGGAAUCUUCCGCAAAGGGCGAAAGCUUGACGGAGCAACGCCGCGUGAGUGAUGAAGGUCUUCGGAUCGUAAAACUCUGUUAUUAGGGAAGAACAAAUGUGUAAGUAACUAUGCACGUCUUGACGGUACCUAAUCAGAAAGCCACGGCUAACUACGUG